AGUUGAAGUUUUCAUCCCUUCUGUUAAAAAUUGGCAUGACUGAUGAAAUAAUUAGAUAGUUACACAUGGCAUAUGCUACAUGUAUCUCAUGUCGAUGUAAAUAGAUAAGCUUUUAAUAGUAGAAUCGAAUGAAAAUUUUAAAA
Molecule: non-coding RNA, 143 nt
Organism: Gossypium hirsutum (cotton)
Lineage: Eukaryota; Viridiplantae; Streptophyta; Magnoliopsida; Malvales; Malvaceae
Source: Rfam